Molecule: ribosomal RNA, 490 nt
Filed under: Bacillus licheniformis
Lineage: Bacteria; Bacillati; Bacillota; Bacilli; Caryophanales; Bacillaceae
Description: bacterial SSU rRNA
Rfam family: Bacterial small subunit ribosomal RNA
Source: RNAcentral
UAUAAUGCAAGUCGAGCGGACCGACGGGAGCUUGCUCCCUUAGGUCAGCGGCGGACGGGUGAGUAACACGUGGGUAACCUGCCUGUAAGACUGGGAUAACUCCGGGAAACCGGGGCUAAUACCGGAUGCUUGAUUGAACCGCAUGGUUCAAUCAUAAAAGGUGGCUUUUAGCUACCACUUACAGAUGGACCCGCGGCGCAUUAGCUAGUUGGUGAGGUAACGGCUCACCAAGGCGACGAUGCGUAGCCGACCUGAGAGGGUGAUCGGCCACACUGGGACUGAGACACGGCCCAGACUCCUACGGGAGGCAGCAGUAGGGAAUCUUCCGCAAUGGACGAAAGUCUGACCGAGCACCGCCGCGUGAGUGAUGAAGGUUUUCGGAUCGAAAAACUCUGUUGUUAGGGAAGAACAAGUACCGUUCGAAUGGGGCGGUUCCUUGACGGAACCUAACCAGAAAGGCAUGGUUAAGUCCGUGCCAGAAAAUCAUACC